Molecule: ribosomal RNA, 428 nt
Filed under: Bacteroidota bacterium
Lineage: Bacteria; Pseudomonadati; Bacteroidota
Description: Bacteroidetes bacterium partial 16S ribosomal RNA
Rfam family: Bacterial small subunit ribosomal RNA
Source: RNAcentral
UAGGGAAUCUUCCGCAAUGGGCGAAAGCCUGACGGAGCAACGCCGCGUGAGUGAUGAAGGUCUUCGGAUCGUAAAACUCUGUUAUUAGGGAAGAACAAAUGUGUAAGUAACUAUGCACAUCUUGACGGUACCUAAUCAGAAAGCCACGGCUAACUACGUGCCAGCAGCCGCGGUAAUACGUAGGUGGCAAGCGUUAUCCGGAAUUAUUGGGCGUAAAGCGCGCGUAGGCGGUUUUUUAAGUCUGAUGUGAAAGCCCACGGCUCAACCGUGGAGGGUCAUUGGAAACUGGAAAACUUGAGUGCAGAAGAGGAAAGUGGAAUUCCAUGUGUAGCGGUGAAAUGCGCAGAGAUAUGGAGGAACACCAGUGGCGAAGGCGACGUUCUGGUCUGUAACUGACGCUGAUGUGCGAAAGCGUGGGGAUCAAACAG